Rattus norvegicus (Norway rat) is the source of this 4631-nucleotide non-coding RNA. NCBI's taxonomy places the organism in Eukaryota, Metazoa, Chordata, Mammalia, Rodentia, Muridae. The record is from RefSeq and is a predicted model, not a curated record.
UGGCGCUGAAAGCAAGGAGGAGGGGCGGUCAGAAGGCCCAAGGAGCCAAGAACAAGGUUGCCAUGGUCCCCGGUAGUUGCUACAGGCUGCUUGUCUGGUGUCCCAGCCCCUGGAGGCUGAGGCAGGAGGACUACUCCAGUUUGAGACCAGCCUGGUCUACAGAGACCCUAUUUCAAAGACAGCAACCUCAAACCCAGCCCAACCAAGUGCUGGACACUGGGGACCACAGGACACUUGCCCGCACCCUUCCUAGCCCUGUGCGGACGUCCAGUUCUGGGUGGGGCCCAGCAGUACAGGACUAGCUGCGAACUCAUUAACCUCACACAGCACAGUCCAGCUUAGAGGCCGGCGUUUAAACACGCUGGGCUCAGAGUGGAUUUUGAUGGCUUUUACAAUAUUUUUAACUCUUCCCUUUUGCACAGGAUAUCCAGAGCCCAGGUUGGUCUGACAGUUGCAGCAGCCCCCCAGCCUCAGCUUUCCGAGAGUCAGCUAGCGACAGAGGCAGGACCUGAAUUCUCCACUCAGCACAAGCCGCUCUACAACGUCAACAUUCUCUCCUGCCAUUGUCCUGGGGGGACCUGACGCAUAGUGCACAGAACCUUCAAGGCUUCUGAGGGACACACUCUGUGAACCCAGGGGACAGUGGGGAGGCAGAGGAGAACAGUGAGGGAUCUUGGGCCUGCUCUUCCUAGGGCAGCAAGUCUACAAAGCACGGCUUCAGAGCUCUCACUGGCCCAAGGGGCCACGGCCUGAACAGGCAGGCGCAGGGUCAGGCCAUGUUGGCCACAGGGUUCCAUUUCAACCCACAGUCACCCUGUCCCUGGUCCUUGGGGCUCCGGGUGUACUGGGAACUGUGUACCCGAGAGGCCAGCACCUGUGGAGCCACGGCCACUGACCUUUCUGUUCCUCCCUGCUGUGUGUACUAUGUUUACACGUACACACAUGUGAAAGCAGAGGUCAGAAUUCAACAUGGGGGUCCUUCCUCAAUCGCUCUCCACUUUCGUGGUGGAGACAGGUGUCUCACUGAGCCCCAAGCUUGCUGCUGUCUAACCAGCGUACUCUGAGGAGCCCUGUCCCUGUCUUCCCGGUGUGGGACAAGCACUUCAUCCACCAAGGUGGGUCCCCAGCCUGACCACUCACCUCUUCUUUUUUUUUUUUUUGGUUCUUUUUUUCGGAGCUGGGGACCGAACCCAGGGCCUUGCGCUUCCUAGGUAAGCGCUCUACCACUGAGCUAAAUCCCCAGCCCCCACUCACCUCUUCUUGGCCUCCUCCAGCUCUGCUUGUACUUUCCCUAUCUCAAUCUGCAGCCGGGCACGUUCACGGGCUGUCUCAUCCAGUACCCGCCGGGCAUCAGCCAGCUCUGACUCGUACAGGGUCUUGAUACCACUCACCUGGGGAGACAGGAAGGGAGUGAUGAUGAGAACACAGGACCACCUUAUGUCAACCCUAUGACACUGUCACACGGGAUCACCCUAUGCCAAUGCUACCACAUUGUCACACAGGACCACCCUAUGUCAACUCUCUGACACUGUCUUUCUGGAAGAAUCCAUCUUCCUUUUCCACAACUUAACCUGCCAGGAAGACAAGAGCAGGCCACAGAACCCUCAGGCAUAGGUAGGGAUGUGUAGCCAAGGCUAGCCCACUUGGCACCAUUGGCUAUGGGGCAUCCUUGCCACCUGUCUGCAACUGUGCAGCAGACACCAGCAUCCCACUGCUUAGUCCAGACUUCCUGUCUAAUGUGUUUUCUUUUCUCCAAAGCACCAGUAUGGAGAUGGCAGAUACCCAGUGCCCUCUCCACUGAGCCCAGCCCCACAGUGGCAAUGCUGAUCAUAUCACAGUGUGGGCGGGUGACACCUGAGUCCGCAGGGAUCAUUCCUGGGUGACCUGCAGGGUCACACUCCUGUUCCUGUCAUGGCAGUUUGGAGACCCCUUUCUGAGUCUGCCUUCCAUUGCUCAGGCCUUCUAUCUGCAUCCUAUCUCAGGGAGGAAUGGGCUGGGAGACCUGGGCCACAAGGGCCAUCUCACUGAGACACUGAAACAGCGGUUCCUGGUGUCAACCUGACCCCAUCUGGAAUGAACUACAACCCAGAAAUGGAGGCCCAUCUGUGACCAGAUCUUGAGGCUUGGUGGCCAUGAAAAGCUCACUCAGGUCAGGUGGUGCAUGCCUUUAACUCUAGGAAACAGGCAAGCUGAGUCUGAGGCCAGCCUGGGACAGAGCAUGUCCCAGAUCCAGCGUGGUGGCACACACCUUUAGUCAGGGCCACACCUUCUGCUGGAGGCCUACACAAGGACACUGGACGAGGGAAGAGCCUUCUUCCCCGGCUUGCACUCCCUUGCCAGCGCCCUGUGGGACGGAGCCUACUUCUUCAGACUCCAGCUCCUUACAGAAGAGCAGCUGAAGCGCCCAGCCGCGUGGGACCCAGCGACUGGAUCGUUAGGUUUCCCUGUCGCAGCUGCCCCGUUGUCAGGUUAGCUGGACGGCAGAAAAUCAGUCCACAAUUCCCCCUAAUCUCUAGAAACAUCCGGUAGGUUCUGUGACUCCAGAACCAGGGCCUUAUCCAGACACUGCAGGGUCACCCCACAUGGUGCUUGGCAAGGGGUCUUCAUGGAUACUCAAAUACACAGUUGCUUUUGACCUCUCCACCGACCCUGCUGGGAAGACAGUUGCCACCUGCCACUGCCUGCCGGCUGUCCCUAGCCAGGCCACACACAGCAGCUGGGCUGGAGACUCAGGUUUCUCCCAGGCCUUCCCUCAGUGUGUAGCUAUGAGCUCAAUGUGUUUAAAGACACGUGGCGACAGACCGCAGAGCAACAGAACAGACUUCACGGCCCGGACACAGAGGCCCGAGACAAGCAGGCACAAGUCUCUCCCUUGGCUGUGGAGAGCAGGUCUCCCGUCACUCCAGCACCACACUUUACAGAAGGAAGUAUGUGCACUGUGCACAGUGUCACCAGCCCCAACACCAAGGGGACAGCAGAGCACUCUCAGCAAAUGAUGGACAUAUGCUACCAUUACUGGAAUAUUACUCAGCCCUGAACAGGAGCAAGACUCUGACAUGACAGGGUGGAGGAACCUGGAAGACAGAGUGCUCAGUGAGACCCAGAUGCAAGGCCACACAGUGUGAGCUCCAGGACGGAUUUGUCCACAGUGGCUGAACCCAGACAGGAAGUAGACUGAGGUGCUGAGAGGAGGGAAGACAGGAGAAAGCCUCACUGGAAUGAACUUUCUUUCAGGGGAUAGAAUAUUCUAGAAUUGGACAAGGGUAAGAUGACACACAUCUAAUGUAGUGCCCUGAACUGCAGUGCCACUCUGGGGGUGCAUAGGCUCGACGUUUAUCAGGGCUCAGGUACCUACCUAGCAUGGGCCUGGAAGGUCAGCCAAGGCCACAGUAGAAGGGUUGCUGAGGAUCUUCUGGAGGUGGGACUCAGGCUCGGACCACUGUGUGUGUGUGUGAGAGAGAGGUGUGACACUGUGGGGAGGGUAAAGUGGGUAAGGCUCUUAUACCCAUUUUACAGACAAAGACACUGAGGCCUAGAGCAGGAAAAAGCCUCCUGCGAUCCAGCCCCACAUCAGCACAAUGGGUCUGCUAAGGAAUGCUUACUCCUGUCUCCACCACAACUGUCCUCACCCCAGGACUCAGCAAGCCCUGGUGUGGAAAGGGCCCUUGACCCUAGGAGGACACUUUGAGAUGCAACCCCACUGGGCCCCACACCCCUCACGUUGGUGCCAAAUCAACCAAGACUGCCAGCUCAUGGGGGUUGGGGAUUUGGCUCAGUGGUAGAGCACUUGCCUAGCAAGCGCAGGGCCCUGGGUUCGGUCCCCAGCUCCAAAAAAAAAAAAAAAAAAAAAAAAAGACUGCCAGCUCAGAUAAACCUUUUGUCUUCACAAGCUGGCGCACUCCAGCAUUCUGUCACAGUGACAGAAGCCAGCACUGAGGUGUAAAAAAAAAGAUGUGAGGGCAUGCAUUCACACACACAGAUACACAUGGACACCAGACAGACACCCACAUAUACAUACAGACAGACAUAUAUAGGCACGCGCACACACCACACACACACACACACACACACACACACACACACACACACACACACACACACCCUUCCCACAGGGUGCCGAUUCGCCAGGCCUGGGUGGACAGAACACAGAGACUCCUGAAGAAGACAGGAGGUGACCACGGGACUGCCCGUUGCCGGCAGCCACAGGAGGAAGGGUGGAUGGGGUGUGUGCUGACGAGAUGUACACCUGUCACCCUCUGGAGGCCCUGACUAGUGCUUGCUCUGUGGGCCCCUGGAUGGGCCCUGAGGCAGAAAGGGCACAGAAGCAGCGGGCCGUACCGUGAACCAUGGGCCUGCUCCAUACUUUGCUCCACUUGGACCCUAUGUCUGGGUCAGCCUGGUCUGUACUCGGGCUUGCAAGCCAGCUGCACCUGUUGCCUGAGCCUACCUGUGUGGAACUGCCUCGGUAUUUUAAAUAUGUAGCCCUGGCUAGGCUGGGAAUCUGUUGUGUAGACCAGGCUAGCCUUAAACACACAGAAAUCCUCUGCCUCUUGAGGCUGUGUCUAUAUUUGAAGUGGCUGGAACAGGCUGGGUGCUCCAUGGCCUGACAGUACUCACCAAUAAAGCUUUAU